GCCCUUGUAGCUCAGCGGAUAGAGCACCGGACUUCUAAUCCGUAGGUCGCAGGUUCAAAUCCUGCCGAGGGCG
This 73-nucleotide transfer RNA is filed under the name Actinomycetota bacterium. RNAcentral's name for it is "Actinobacteria bacterium tRNA-Arg". It matches the Rfam family "tRNA". From Rfam's summary of the family: Transfer RNA (tRNA) molecules are approximately 80 nucleotides in length. Their secondary structure includes four short double-helical elements and three loops (D, anti-codon, and T loops). Lineage: Bacteria; Bacillati; Actinomycetota. The record is from RNAcentral.